CUGACUGCCUGUACGGCUCUCCAUUUUCAAGUCGUGCGGAGCUUUAAAAAGGAGGAAACAGCACGCCCGGACUCGGGCUGCGGCAGUGUGGAGACCUGCCGUAUCAGCGGCGCGGCCCUCAGCGGCCGGCCGUGAGGGCGUUCCAUGCGAAGGCAGAACGCUCAGAGUCGAGAAACAUGGCA
RNAcentral lists this non-coding RNA (182 nucleotides) under unclassified sequences. Its description in RNAcentral is "malK-I RNA". It matches the Rfam family "malK-I RNA". The record is from RNAcentral.